GACGAACGCUGGCGGCGUGCUUAACACAUGCAAGUCGAACGAUGAAGCGGUGCUUGCACCGUGGAUUAGUGGCGAACGGGUGAGUAAUACGUGAGUGACUUACUUUGACUCUGGGAUAAGCCUGGGAAACUGGGUCUAAUACCGGAUACGACCAAUCUCUGCAUGGGGUGUUGGUGGAAAGCGUUAUGGAGUGGUUUUAGAUGGGCUCACGGCCUAUCAGCUUGUUGGUGAGGUAAUGGCUUACCAAGGCGACGACGGGUAGCCGGCCUGAGAGGGUGACCGGCCACACUGGGACUGAGACACGGCCCAG
This 310-nucleotide ribosomal RNA is filed under the name uncultured bacterium. Its description in RNAcentral is "bacterial SSU rRNA". It matches the Rfam family "Bacterial small subunit ribosomal RNA", at positions 28 to 334 of the family's 1533-position model. The record is from RNAcentral.